This 462-nucleotide ribosomal RNA is filed under the name uncultured bacterium. RNAcentral's name for it is "partial 16S ribosomal RNA". It matches the Rfam family "Bacterial small subunit ribosomal RNA", at positions 28 to 507 of the family's 1533-position model. The record is from RNAcentral.
GGCGAACGCUGGCGGCGUGCUUAACACAUGCAAGUCGAGCGGAAAGGCCCUUCGGGGUACUCGAGCGGCGAACGGGUGAGUAACACGUGAGUAACCUGCCCCAGACUUUGGGAUAACCCUCGGAAACGGGGGCUAAUACCGGAUACGACACAGCUUCGCAUGGGGUCUGUGUGGAAAGUUUUUCGGUUUGGGAUGGGCUCGCGGCCUAUCAGCUUGUUGGUGGGGUGAUGGCCUACCAAGGCGACGACGGGUAGCCGGCCUGAGAGGGCGACCGGCCACACUGGGACUGAGACACGGCCCAGACUCCUACGGGAGGCAGCAGUGGGGAAUAUUGCACAAUGGGCGGAAGCCUGAUGCAGCGACGCCGCGUGAGGGAUGACGGCCUUCGGGUUGUAAACCCCUUUCAGCAGGGACGAAGCGUAAGUGACGGUACCUGCAGAAGAAGCGCCGGCCAACUACGUG